Molecule: long non-coding RNA, 1532 nt
Filed under: Prunus persica (peach)
Lineage: Eukaryota; Viridiplantae; Streptophyta; Magnoliopsida; Rosales; Rosaceae
Description: long non-coding RNA (PPER_LNC005495)
Source: RNAcentral
GUAGUACACACGUCAGAGAUCACGGCGUGGUCGUCACACUUGAACGAGCGUCAGUUUAUUAUGUGGACAUGACAGAAGCUGAGAGAGAGACUGAGAGAGGGUUUGAGUUGAGACAGAAUAUUUGGGUCCUCGAUAAAGAAGCAUACCGAAAGAGCACUCCACUUGCGGGCCCUGAUGUGUGGGGGCCCUUCUCCCUCCUCCUACAAGCAAAGGAUAUAUUCUCCCCCCAAACCCUCUAGUCACGUGGCACCCGUUAGUAUAUAGGCAAUAUGUAUGUCCCACUGUUUUUAUAGACUUACAGUCGAGUUCAUAAUUCAACUUCAUAUAGAGAGAAAGCUGAUUUCAAAACACGCUUGAUUUGAUAUAAAAUAUUGUUCUCAAACUAUAUAUUGAUUGAAAUGUUUGAUGAGCUAAAUUAUCGUCUGAAUGCAUGAUUUAUAAAUUAACAAUUAAUGAGAGCUGCACUUUUUAUCACGUUUAUCUUCAUUUUGUAUAACUUCAUUGUACACUUUGCAAAGAAGAAAAAAUAAGAAAUGAGAAUCGAGCCCAGAACCCAUCAUAAAUGAAGCUCUAAUGCCACUUUUUUUUUUCUUUUUUUUUUUCUUUUUUUUGAGAUCUUUUCCUAUUGGAAGGGGCGAUAGCAUAUUAAACUCACACACACAACACGGAUGCUAGGACUUGAACCCAAGACCUUGCCUGAAGGAGUAAAUAUUCCAAACCACUACACUAGUGGAUCUUUUGCCACAUUUUAAUAACUACCAAUCCUAAAAUUUUAAGCCAUCAAUUCAUACCAAGCUUAAAAUUACAACCUAACCCGUAUGCAACAUUAGCUUUCAUAACCCAACUCAAAUGAAAUUUAAAGCUUGGAGGGGUUAUGGCUUAGAAUUUAGAACAAGGAACAUUCGAAUUAUGCUCUCAUCAUCAGUGUAAAAUAUAAGUAAACAAGCAUGCAUCAUGCAUGCCAUAACUAAGUAAUGGAGGAUGCUGGAUCUUGGUAGCUUGAGGUUGAUGGCGUGAUGGACACACUGAAAAUCAUGGGGGCCCAAAGUUCACUUUGUCAGAUGGUGAAUAAAGUGGGGUUUGUGCCCACGUUAAUUUCACCGUACAGAAAACCAACUGUUCUAUAUUCUUAUAUCUAUACAAAGGAAAGGACGACGGUGAAUCCAUCUGAUUUUUAGUGUUCUUCUCUCUGCUAUGCAUCAGAUUUCAAUGAUCAGCUUCCAUUUUAUCAUUUUGCUUUGUUUCUUUUUAAUUAUUUGUUGGUGUUGAACCAAUUAAAGAAACUUUCAUAAUUACUUUGUGACGAGCUUGCAUGCGGGGGUUUUGAAAGUGAGCAAUCAUUUGUUAGGUGUUGAACCAUAUGCAUGAAGGACCACGUACCACUGGCUUUUUCCUAUAUGUGUUUUCCAAUAAUCUAUGAAAUUUAUCAAAAUUAAUAUGUUUGAUCUCUCAUAAUAAUCUAACUUGCUUCAACUUUGAUGAGCACUAUUCAUCCAUUUAUCGACUUUGCAAACCUUAGAGUGCUUAAUCAC